CCUUACACAAAGGGAUAGCCUCGGGAAACCGGGAUUAAUACCAUAUGAUAUCUAUUCACCGCAUGGCUUAUAGAUUAAAGAAAUUCGGUGUAAGAUGAGCUCGCGUCCCAUUAAUUAGUUGGUGAGGGUAACGGCCCACCAAGAUAGCGAUGGGUAGCCGAUCUAAGAGGAUGACCGGCCACAUUGGAACUGAGAAACGGUCCAAACUCCUACGGGAGGCAGCAGUGGGGAAUAUUGCACAAUGGGGGAAACCCUGAUGCAGCGACGCCGCGUGAGCGAUGAAGGCUUUCGAGUCGUAAAGCUCUGUCCUAUGGGGAGAUAAUGACGGUACCAUAGAAGAAAGCCCCGGCUAAUUACGUGCCAGCAGCCGCGGUAAUACGUAAGGGGCGAGCGUUGUCCGGAAUUAUUGGGCGUAAAGAGUGCGUAGGCGGCAAAUUAAGUCAGAUGUGAAAACUAAGGGCUCAACCCAUAGAUUGCAUCUGAAACUGAUAUGCUUGAGUCAAGGAGAGGAAAGUGGAAUUCCUAGUGUAGCGGUGGAAUGCGUAGAUAUUAGGAGGAAUACCGGUGGCGAAGGCGACUUUCUGGACUUGAACUGACGCUGAGGCACGAAAGCGUGGGGAGCAAACAGGAUUAGAUACCCUGGUAGUCCACGCCGUAAACGAUGAGUGCUAGGUGU
Molecule: ribosomal RNA, 676 nt
Filed under: uncultured bacterium
Lineage: Bacteria
Description: bacterial SSU rRNA
Rfam family: Bacterial small subunit ribosomal RNA
Source: RNAcentral